GGAAGUAAAAGUCGUAACAAGGUUUCCGUAGGUGAACCUGCGGAAGGAUCAUUAUCGUGGGGCUCCGGCCCUAUCGAGAUAGAACCCUUGCCUUUUUUGAGCACCUGUACCGUUUCCUCGGCAGGCCCGCCUGCCAGUAGGACCCACAAACCAAACCCUUUUAUCAAUCUGUACUUUAGUCUGAUAUAAACACAAUUAUCAAAACUUUCAACAACGGAUCUCUUGGUUCUGGCAUCGAUGAAGAACGCAGCGAAAUGCGAUAAGUAGUGUGAAUUGCAGAAUUCAGUGAAUCAUCGAAUCUUUGAACGCACAUUGCGCCCUUUGGUAUUCCUUAGGGCAUGCCUGUUCGAGCGUCAUUUCAAACCCUCAAGCUCAGCUUGGUGUUGGGUGACUGUCCCGCCUCCAUGGGCGUGGACUCGCCUUAAAAGCAUUGGCGGCCGGCAACAGUGGCUUCGAGCGCAGCAGACUUGCGUACUCGGGCCUGCUGGGUCGGUCCCCCACAAGCCUCUUUCUCCAGUUUUGACCUCGGAUCAGGUAGGGAUACCCGCUGAACUUAAGCAUAUCAAUAAGCGGAGGA
Molecule: ribosomal RNA, 577 nt
Filed under: Marquandomyces marquandii
Lineage: Eukaryota; Fungi; Ascomycota; Sordariomycetes; Hypocreales; Clavicipitaceae
Description: eukaryotic LSU rRNA
Rfam family: 5.8S ribosomal RNA (bases 203-356)
Source: RNAcentral